Molecule: long non-coding RNA, 2200 nt
Filed under: Mus musculus (house mouse)
Lineage: Eukaryota; Metazoa; Chordata; Mammalia; Rodentia; Muridae
Description: long non-coding RNA chr4:147522031-147524231
Source: RNAcentral
UGAAACAUUUUCCUGGCUGCUGAUAAAGUAUAUCCUCUAUGGAUCAUUAAAAAUGAAAAACAUCAAAAAGCUAAAAAUUCAAAGGAGAAGAAAGUUUGUGCUCAAAACUGAGUUCAUUUGUCACAGUGAAAGACUAUGAUUGAUGUUUACUGGUUAAGUGAUACAAGCAUGGCGGUCUCUGCAAACCCUAGGUCUGGUAGAAUAACAAUCCAUGAGACCAAAAGAAAUCUAUGUUCAAUACCACUCUAUAAGUAUUUCAGCACUAGUUGUGGGUGUGUUGUGAGUUAUUGUCAAUGAAAUUCUUGCAGCACUCAGGGAUAAAUCCAUCCCAGUGAAUAUGUGAAUAGCUCUGAAGUAAAAGGUCUCCUGGCAGUCAGAAGUCAUGAUAUACCACAAUGCCCCAUGGAACAUUUAACCACACACAGAGGUUUAAUGGGAUAACACUGGAGGGAGGCUGCCUCUGCUCAGGUGAGAAGCAGAAGAGAAAUAAGUGAGAGGCAGGCUUCUCAAAGGGUUUUAUUUGGGGGGGGGAUGGGGGGAAAGGAUUUUCAGGAUCAGAAAUAUCUCUGGUUGGAUAUUGCUGGGGUUUUAUGUUCUGAGUUUGAGUAAACUAAGGAGUUUCUGAAUUAUUAAAACUGGGAAGUAAACUAUAAGUUUUCCCUGUAGACUCAGUGGCCAAUGCUGACUGAAGCUUCAAGAUUCUGAUCCCAGGAUGGUUUAUUUUAGGAACAAGUAAGCACAGUAUAAUUUCAAAAUGAAAUUUCUUGGUAAUAAUUGUCUCAAUCAUAUGUGCACAGUGAAGAUAAAGGUGUGGCUUCCUCAAAAGUCUUUUGACAAGUACAGGUGUUUCCUUCUUAAAGUUGAAUUCUAAAAAUAAGGGUCUAGAGGAGGAUCAAGCAUACCGUGUAGAGGACACCAAGCUGUAAGGUACAUGUCCUAUGUCCCCCAAGGAUGGUUUGUACUACUGGAGAAACAAUGACCUAGGAUGAUUAUCUGGGACAAUUUAACAGUCUGGGACUUUCAGGUGUAGUCUGGCACUACAUCUACCACAGGUCACCAACCUGCUUACUAUAUCCAUUCCUUCACUUCUGGUAAAAAAAAAAAAAAAAAAAAAAAGUGUACUUUUUCUUGCACUGUAGUGAAAACCCUCUUCCAAAGGUACUGAGUUCAAAUCCCAGCAACCACAUGGUGGCUCACAACCACCCAUAAUGAGAUCUGAUACCCUCUUCUGGUGCGUUUGAAGACAGCUACAGCGAACUUAUACUAAUAAAUCUUUGGCUGGAGCAAGUGGGGUUGGCCAGAGCAAAUAGAGGUUCUCAGUUCAAUUCCCAACAAUCACAUGAAGGCUCACAACCAUCUGUACAACUAAAAUGUGUACUCAUAUACAUAAAAUAAAUAAAUCUUUAAAAAAAAACAUGCAAGUGUUGCUGACAUAAUCCCAGCAAUCAGAACACUGUGGCAGGUGUAUUCCUCUACUUUUGAGGUCAGACUAGUAUACAUCAAAGUGACAUUCCAACCUUUGGGUCACAAUUUCCUCUUCUGGCCUGCAUGGAUUCUCCACAGGUAUUGAGGUUCUCAAGAUUUUAAUCUAACUUUUGUGGUCAGCCAGGUCCUAGAACAGGAUCACUGAACUGGCUUGUGUAAUUACCUGUUCUGUGAUCAGCCAUUCUCCGAACAGGGUGCUUCAGGGACCACCUAUUUUUCGUUCUUGGCUUCAACUUGGUCUAGGGGGUCAAACUUAAAUUUUCUACCUUACACAUGGAGACAAAAGACAGAUAGAAACGGAGAAUUGCAUGAGGCAGCCUUCAGGAAGUUAAAGAUUUAAACUAACUGAACAGACACACAAAGGAUAGAAGGCACAGGGAACAUGAAGUAGAGAAUUCAACUUUGGACUCACACUUAGUUAAAUGCUCUGAGGGAAAGGCUUUAAUUUCUUUCCUUAACUCAGAUGGAUUAUAAAUCAGCAGUAUGUUUAUUUCAUCUAUUCACAUAUGAAGGAUCAAUUAACUUGUAACAUUUUUUUUUUGCACAAAUACAAUAUGGGAAAACUAAAAGUCACCACAAUGGGAAACAAGUAGCCCUGACAUUUGAAAGGUGUCCAUGAGCACAGAACCCUGUUCUUUAAAGACAGACCUCCAGGUCUGGACUUGUGCUUCUGAGCUCUCACCUCCAUGCUUAGCUAGAAUCCAUUUUAACCUCU